CAUAUGGUACCUAUUAGCGGUAGAGAGUCUAACAAGAUAGGUGGCGAUAUGGCUUCUUAUGAGGU
This 65-nucleotide non-coding RNA is filed under the name Mannheimia granulomatis DSM 19156. RNAcentral's name for it is "L31-Gammaproteobacteria ribosomal protein leader". It matches the Rfam family "L31-Gammaproteobacteria ribosomal protein leader". The record is from RNAcentral. Lineage: Bacteria; Pseudomonadati; Pseudomonadota; Gammaproteobacteria; Pasteurellales; Pasteurellaceae.